Molecule: ribosomal RNA, 720 nt
Filed under: Triticum aestivum (bread wheat)
Lineage: Eukaryota; Viridiplantae; Streptophyta; Magnoliopsida; Poales; Poaceae
Description: partial small subunit ribosomal RNA
Source: RNAcentral
AUGAAUGUCAAGCCCGGCUCAAGGCCUAUUUUCAAGUUGAGGUUCAGUGGAAAAUCGAGACCUGAGCCAUGCCUGAACACCAGCCUAUCUAGCGGGGUUGCUCAUGUCAGGUCUAGUCGGCACAUACUCUACGUGGAAAAGGAAGGAACAUUCAAAUGCAUAGUGGGCUCCUACCCGGGCCUGUCAAUUCAAAGAAUUAUCACCUCCUUUUCUCUUCUUCAUUUCACACACUCCACUCACGAAGAAUCAGAAGCUAAAGCAUCUAAAGGAAAGGCCCCAGCUACAUCCUGCUACCCGCUGUUGGUGAACACUUGCAACAAAAGGGCCAUUCCUAAUAUCCCAUGGUUCCCGCCGGUGAUUGGUCGUGUGAAGCUGAAUACUGACGAGUCUGUACUCAACGGACAAGGUGGAGCUGGAAUGGUUCUGAGAGACCAUGUGGGGAGUAUCAUAUUCUGUUCAUGUCGCCAUUUGUCCUCUUGCGAUGACGUACUGGAAACCGAGAUCCUUGCUAUCAAAGAAGGUCUCAUGUUGGCCUCGCAAUGGAGCAGCCUCCCCAUAGACAUUGAAUCUGAUUGUCUUGAAGCAGUUAAGAUGGUGCAGAGUGAAGGAACUAGUCAUGUAAUGGCGAACUUUGGGAGAUCUCAAGCACGAACCGCGGUGUGGCUUGGAUCAGGUCCAGAGGAAGUCACUGAUAUUGUUCGUCGUGAUUGUAACACUUGA